This 119-nucleotide ribosomal RNA is filed under the name Cognatishimia activa. The record is from RNAcentral. Lineage: Bacteria; Pseudomonadati; Pseudomonadota; Alphaproteobacteria; Rhodobacterales; Paracoccaceae.
UUUGGUGAUCAUAGCACGAAGUGAAACACCCGGUCCCAUCCCAGAACCGGAAGUUAAGCACCAAUUGCGCCUGAAUGGUUCUGCAUCUUAAGGUGUGGGAGAGUAGGGCAUCGCCAAAC